AUCAUGUCAGCUGUGUGGAUCAAAGAAAAAGGGAUAUUUCAGAUCCUUCUGCAAAAAGAGCAGCAUCUUGUUAUUUUGUGUAUGCAAAGGCCAAGUAUCAGUGUUUUUCAUCAGCGUCCCACGUGAUGAUGCAGGCCUCGAUCAUAAUCCAUGUGUGUGUGUGUGUGUGAGUGUGUGUGUGUAAGUGUUGUUACAUGUGAUUGAGGGAGGAAACUGAUCCUGUGUGUGUUUAUCUGAAGCUCUACGACCUCUUCUCGCUGAGCUGAAAUAGGAUUCUUUGCUCUUUUCUCCUCACCUCUCCUCUCGUCUAUUAUUCCCUCCUUUAUCCCCUCUCCUCCUCCUCCUCCUCCUCCUCUUCCUCCUCUGCCCUCUUCUCCUCUCCUCUCCUUCCUUCAGCUCUUUCCCCCUAUCUCCCCCCCUAUCCAAAUCCAAACUCUCACCAGCCACCCAUGUGACAGACAGGGUGUCCUCACCUUGUAACGAUCAGUGACAUCCAAUAUGUUUGGCUUGGGAUCAUCCCCUGUGUGUGCAUUGUGCUCUCUGUUAAACGCUUUAUUGAUUAGCCAUAAGUUAAUUACAAAUUACAUCAAGCGUGGGCACUGUGUGGAAGAUGGCAACAGGAUCAGGUGCUAAAACAUGUCACACACACACACACCUGCAUGCGUGCAUCCCAACCUGAGUUCUUACACUAUAUUCUGCCUGAUUUCCACCUAUUAACAUCGGCGCGUUUAUGACAUUUUACACUCUCUUAUCUGCUGCUUUAAGGCCAUGUGGCGCGUUUUCUGUCGUGAAAAGGGUAGCAUUAGAAACAGGAGGGUUUCUGCAGAGACACCAAGGGUAUGCAGCCUGAAUACUUAAUUCUAUCAAGCACAACUUUGACUCACCCUAUGCUAAAAUUAUGAGCCUGUGUGCCAAAUCCAAAGCAGACCUUUGGAGGCUAAUGUAUUCUGGAUUUAAGCUCCAUUGUAAAAUCCAUAACACGCCUGCACCUGACCUGCUCUGCCGCAGCACCGAAAACAACCUCUCACCUCUGACUCCUGCACAAAGUUGAAAAACAAUAAUAAUAUUAAUAAUAAAUUGAUCAUAAAUUAAUAAUGAUAGAUUAAUAAUAGUUUUUGCAACCUGCAAUAGCAAGCACUUUUUUUGCAGCCUGCUUCCUUUUCAUGCCGUGUCAGUUUCUCUGUGACAUUGCCGUGUACUUUGUGCAAAAAAAAAAAGGAAAAAAGGAGCGAAAAAAAAAUCUUUAUCAAAUCCCCAUUCUGAGGCUUUCAAUAAGGCAGGCCAUUACCUCACUGGCGCUUUUGUUCGGCCUAUACAAGAGAGAACAAAAUGGUUAUUCAGGAGGACGCUUUAGAUUUUUAUUGUGGGCUCGCUAUUCACAAAGAGCACCGUUAUUGUAUUAAAAAGAACCAUCUGUGGCAGAAACAAUGGCUUCAAAUUAUCUGUGAAUACCCAGUGAACAAAAUAUAAAGCUUUUUCCUGCUCAUUAUGUGGGCUAAGCUAGGGGGUGGAAGAUAGGAGAGGAGAGGCAUAGACUUUGCUAUAACUGACUUUUGUUGUUCUUGCUUGCAUUCUUCUCCUUUUUAAAUCGGCCCCCUUUUCACAUUGUGUGUCGCCAUAAACGGCUUUUCUUGUUGCAGGGCUCGCGGAAAGAAGACAGCGGAGCUCCACACAGGCAGCGGGGCUCCACGCAAGCUGCACGCCGGGCCACGGCGCACCGGCUGACGGGUUGGAAACCGCGCGGACUACCGGGGGAACUUUCUGGGGAAGGGUUGGAAAAUGAAGACGGUGCCCGCCGCCGCCGGAGUUGGACGUUUCACCAAGCCGGCUUGUGGAAGCUCUAUCCCCGGGCUUAGUUUGGAGCGGACUUUUCCAGGAGGAGUGAGGGGAAGCUACGGAGGAGGUUGAGCGCAAAAAAUGGCAUCUUGUUUAAUUUGUGCCAAUCAAGACGAGAGGAAGACAACUCCCCAAACUGGCAGUAAGUCUGAGUGCGGUGAAGAGGAGAAGCCCUGGGUGUGUUUGUGUGUGUGUCGGUGUGUAUGUUAGUGUGUGUUGGAGUCGGUGUGUGUAUGUAAAACAUGCAGUGUUGUGGAAUGACACCGCAUGGCAUCAUGAGCUUCACUGGCUGCCUGAAAUGUUGUUGGCCGCUCUGCUUUUCUGCUCAACAUACGCGCAGAUCAUUACGCGCGCAGAUGAUCAUCAAAGUGGCACUUGUUUAAUAUUAAUUUAUGAUUUGAUUUUACACUUUUGACACAUUAUUUCUUCUCCUGUAUUUGAUUUAAAUACAGUUUGAAUUACAACUUAAACAGAACUUCAUCUAUAAUUUCACCGGCACGGAUGCUCCGGUAUCCGACUAAUUUAGGCUUUUAUUUUAUAAACAGAAUGUCAGAUUUUUACUUGUAAUCUGGUUUUAUUUUAUUUUAUUAUGUGCUGAAAGCUUUUCUUUCAUUUAAAACUUUUUAACCUUUUUCAUCACACACACUUUAAUCUUAUUUAUCUUUGUUGUCCAUGCGUAAAAUGGAUAAUAAAGAUUUAUUGCACCGUAUCUUUUAAACAAAAUGCAACAAUAAGAAAUAUAUAAUUGUACUGAAUGAUAAUACAAAACC
Xyrichtys novacula (pearly razorfish) is the source of this 2606-nucleotide non-coding RNA. The record is from the annotation of a GenBank genome assembly. Lineage: Eukaryota; Metazoa; Chordata; Actinopteri; Labriformes; Labridae.